GAGGCGAGUGCCCGAGCCGACAGCGCCCAGUCCAGCACCGCCGCGCCGCCGCACCGCACCGCACCGCACCGCGGAGCGCCCCGCAGCACCGCGCGGCAGGACCCCGCGGCAGGACCCUGCUGCGCAGCUGGACCCCAGCGCCGCGUCUCAUCGCACCGCGCCCCCUUCUCGCUCCGCAGCCCUGACAGCGUCUCCCACGCUGCGACAGCUCUCAAAACCUACUUUGGGGUUUUAAAACGAAACCGUACACCAUUUCACUGUGGACAUUACACCCUCUUACAGAUAUGGGAGACAUGGGAGACCCACCAAAAAAAAAACGCCUGAUUUCCCUAUGUGUUGGUUGCGGCAAUCAAAUUCACGAUCAGUAUAUUCUGAGGGUUUCUCCGGAUUUGGAAUGGCAUGCAGCGUGUUUGAAGUGUGCAGAGUGUAAUCAGUAUUUGGACGAGACCUGUACGUGCUUUGUUAGGGAUGGCAAAACCUACUGUAAAAGAGAUUAUAUCAGGUUAUACGGCAUCAAGUGCGCCAAGUGCAGCAUCGGCUUCAGCAAGAAUGACUUCGUGAUGCGCGCCCGCGCCAAGGUGUACCACAUCGAGUGUUUCCGCUGCGUGGCCUGCAGCCGUCAGCUCAUCCCCGGCGAUGAAUUCGCGCUGCGGGAAGACGGCCUCUUCUGCCGGGCGGACCACGACGUGGUGGAGCGGGCCAGCCUGGGAGCCGGGGACCCCCUCAGCCCCUUGCACCCGGCCCGGCCGCUGCAGAUGGCAGCAGAACCUAUCUCUGCCAGACAGCCAGCUCUGCGGCCUCAUGUCCACAAGCAGCCUGAGAAGACCACCCGAGUCCGAACUGUCCUCAAUGAAAAACAGCUUCACACCUUGAGGACCUGCUAUGCUGCCAACCCCAGACCUGACGCCCUCAUGAAAGAGCAACUGGUAGAAAUGACUGGCCUCAGUCCGAGGGUCAUCAGGGUUUGGUUUCAAAACAAGCGAUGCAAGGACAAAAAAAGGAGCAUUAUGAUGAAGCAACUUCAGCAGCAGCAACCCAAUGACAAAACUAAUAUCCAAGGGAUGACAGGAACUCCGAUGGUGGCUGCUAGUCCAGAGAGACAUGAUGGUGGUUUACAGGCGAACCCGGUGGAGGUGCAGAGUUACCAGCCACCCUGGAAAGUACUGAGUGACUUCGCAUUGCAGAGUGACAUAGAUCAACCUGCUUUUCAGCAACUACUCAAAUGGGACCAUAUCAACUGCAAUACUUAGGCCCAAGAAGGUGAAUUAAGGACAGAAGUUCAACCUUAACUCAAUUUCCUGGCCUAAGUGUGUUAUAACCAGAUCUUUAAAAUAAUAAGGUUAAUUUUUCAGAAGGAGGACCUGGUUCCAAUUCUACUGGAAGUGAAGUGGCAUCAAUGUCCUCUCAGCUCCCAGACACGCCCAACAGCAUGGUAGCCAGUCCUAUUGAGGCAUGAGGAAAAUUCAUCCAGAGUUCUGAUGUUGUUGUUUCUGCCCUUACCCUCAGCCCUGUUGGAGAGAGUGGGAAAGUGAUCAUGUUUGGACUCCGAAAUUUAGGUGGGAAAAGUAUUUAACAGCCCUGUAAUGAACCUGGUAAGGAACCGCUCCAUGAAACAAACGGAGUCAUGUUUGAAAAGAGAAGGUAAUAUGGUAGCAACACUGUGAAGACAAUCAUGGGAUCUUACUAGAAUAAAUGCUAAAACAAACAAAAAACCACCACGCUACUCAAUGAUCUUGAGGAGGAUCGAAAAGACAUUUUCAAAAUAUAGGGGAUAUGUACUCAUGAAUCUUUAAAAAAAAAAAAAAAUAUUUACAUUUGACUGCACAUCUUAGAGAGAAACCAAGAUAGAGGGACUUUCUCCUAACCCGAAUGGUGCUGUUUCUAUAUUGGUCAUUGCCUUGCCAAAAGGAGCUCCGGUAGGUUUUCCAUCAUCAAGAAAGAGACGAUUUAGCCCCGCGCUGUUGAAAGAUUCAUUGCAGGAAGGUGGAGCUGCGUUGGUUUGCGAUGUUGUUUUUAGUUGACUCUUAACAAGGGGUUGUUUCCUGGGUCUCUUAUAGCAUGUACUGUAGCGGGGUUUUGGUUUGUGUUUGGUUGAGAUCCACCCUCUAUCAAGUCUGAAGUAAUUAAGAAAUAGGUUUUUGAAUUACUCUUUAAAAACCAUUUAUAAAAGCAUUGCAACAAGGUAUACCUCUAUUUUGCCACAAAGCGUCUCGGGAUUGUGUUUGAAAUGUGUCUGUCCAAGAACCUUCCCCUCCCCCAAAGAUGUGUAUAGUCAUCGGUUAGAACGACUGUUUUCUCUCUCUUUCUUUCUCUCUCUCUCUAUCUCUCUCUUUCUCUCAAUAAAGAGGAAAAAAAAAAAAAAAAAGUAAAAAAAAAAAGUAAAAAGGAAAAGGAAAAAAACACCACCCUUUUUGUUUGCUCUUGCAUUGCAAAAUUAUAAAGUAAUUUAUUAUUUAUUAUUGGAAGACUUGCCACUUUUCAUGUCAUUUGACUCUAUUUUUUUUUUGUUUGCUGAAGUAAAAAAAAAAAAAAAAAAAAAGGAAAAAAAAAAAAAAAAAGAUUGUACCGUGGUCUUUGAAUUAUAUGUCUUAUUCUAUGUGGUUUUUGUCUUUUUUUCCUUAAAUAUUAUGUGAAAUAAAAGCGCCAUAUGUAGAAUUAUUAUAUCUUCAGGACUAUUUCACUAAAUAAGCGUUUGGAAUAGAGAAAAUAAUAAUAGUAAUAAUAAUAAUAAUAAUAAUAAUAAUAAAUAAUGAACAAAGUUCCCUCUUUUAAAUAUUUACAAAUUAGCAGCUAAAAUACCUGACAUAAAAUAUUGCAUGCAAAGCAGGUCGUUAGUGAAAACAAGGAGUGUGAUAUUUUAUUGCAAAUAUUAACGACCGGCUUGUAAAUUUCCGUUUCAACAACUGUAUCAGGGCUAGUUGGAUGCCUUAGCUUUCAAUCGAUAACAUUAGAAGCUCUCUUGUUCCCUUCCCUCCCCCUUAUCCCUUGCCCUUAAAAGUGUUAUUACUCUAGGCAUGGUCUGACAUAACUUUAAGACAUCGAAAGAACUGAGAGCUCAGGCUUUUGGCUGAGUUCCAUUAUUUUUUAAAAAAUAUUAAAAAAUUAGUGCUGUAUACCAAAGCCUCGUCGUUGAGAUUGUUGAAGUGACCUGUAUUUUAAGUAUAAGCUCCUGAUAAAAGGGACGCUUUUUGCUUAACACGUCAAGUAUGACCAUUAUUUAUCAGUGUCUGCUGUCAAAACGCUUGAAAAAAAUGCUGCAGAAGAAAUAGGAUUCGGGGAUAUUGCUAUGAAAUUGCACGAUCGGUGUUCCUUCUUCUCUGUCGACUUCCCUCUCUUCACUCCCUCUUUUCUUCCUUUUUUAAUUUGUGGGGGAGAGGGUGGUGAAGGCUAAAAACAUGGGCGAGUUCUUGGGGAAAUGUGAAAAAGAAGAAGGAAAAAAAAAUAACAAGACAUUGGAAAGGGUUGUUUUUGCUCGAAUCCAAGUGUUCCCUAGUGCUCCUGGCCAGCGUGAGACGACUCGCCCUAAAAAAUCCUUAACAACUGGAAUAUACAGAGAUUUUUAGGCUGACAAGGACAAGUUGGUUUGCAUGGUAGUUACUCCAAAACCUGAUGUUUUCUAAACAUAACCUUUUUCUUCCCUCCUCCCCAUUUCAGCUCUCCCUGAGCAAGCUCAGCUAUAGAGACAAACCAUUUCGACAGUAGAAAGAAAACAAUAAUAAUAAUAAUAAUAAUAAUAAUAGAGGUUAAAAGCCUAACACAAGGAUUUCAAUCAUCCUGAUUAGAAACUGGAUUCAUUUUGUAUGCUCAAGUGUAAUACAUUUUUGAGUACUUGAUAAAUAUUUAAAUAAAUAUGAAAUCUACCUUAAA
This is a non-coding RNA of Coturnix japonica (Japanese quail), 3867 nucleotides long. The record is from RefSeq and is a predicted model, not a curated record. Lineage: Eukaryota; Metazoa; Chordata; Aves; Galliformes; Phasianidae.